AUCAUCUUCAAGUUCAUUCCCUUCCAUAUGAUUAAAAUAAUUAAGUGGCAGAUUGGCAGGGUCUAAAUUCUGUGUUUAUAUAAAAAGAUAUGGGGAGAUUAUACAGUCUGUUGCUGUUGCUCUCAAAACAUGGCUAAUUAUAGGGUUUUCAAAAAUUAUCUACUUUUCUUACUCUUUUAAAUAGGCAAUGUAUCUAGGUUACAAAAUCCGAAAGAUGCAAAUGAGACUACAAUGAAAAUUAAGUCUCCAGUCCUCCUCUCUCUGUGCCCAUUUUCCCCUCGUUAAAAAGAUUGCACCUAGUUUCUUUUGUAUCCAUUCAGAGAUGUUCUAUGCAAUUGCACUCAAGAUAUUCUGUUACUGCAGCACCAAUGGAUGAGGAUAGGGAAUGACUGAGCCAUAAGAUGAAAGGAUUCUGGCUCUUUUUGUUAAAGCAAAUUCACAUUCAAGGACAUUCCGCAGCUUCAGUUCAAUAAAUUUUUACAAAUGCAUGUACCAGAUAACAACCACACUCCUAUCAAGAUAUAAAAUAGUUUUGUUGAUGUCAUCAGAGGCAAGCACUGGUAUCAUUUUUUUCUCUCUUGAUAAAUAUUAACCUUUUAGAACCUCAUAUAAAUGGAAUCAUAGAGUAAAUAUGUUUUUAUUUAUGGCUUCUUUCACUCCAUCAUAUAAUGUUUUUGAAAUUAUCCAUAUUGGUUGAGUUUGUCAAUAGUUAAUUCCUUUUAAUUAAUGAAUAUUAUUCCUUUGUAUAACUAUGCCAUAAUUUACUUAUUCACUCUCCUAUUUGAUGGACAUUUGGGUUGCUUCCUUUUGGGGGGGUAUUAUGAAUAAAGGUGCUGUGAUCAUUUGUGCACAAGUUUUUAUAUGAAUGUAUUUUUCAUUUCUCCUAGGAAAUAUCUAUGAGAGGAAGGACAUGGUUAUAUGUUAGGUAUUUAUCUUUACAAGAAAUUGUGAAACUGUUUUCUGAAGUAAUUGUAAAAUUUUACACUAUUGCCUGCAGAGUAUGAUAGUUCCAUUUGUACCACAUUCUUGCCAACUCUUGAUUUUGUCUGUCUUUACAAUGUUAUCCAUUCCAAUGGGUGUAUAGUGGUAUCUCAUUGUGCUUCUAAUUUAUAUUUACUUGGGGUCUAGGCAAUUCUUCAUAUACUAUCUUCUUAUAUAUUUUGUUUGAACUCUCUGCUCAUGUAUUUUCCCAAUUUUUUUGUUUGUUUAGAUUCAUUUGCAUGAUUUCUUUAUAUACUCUGAAUACAAAAAUUUUGCCAUAUAAAUGUUUUGCACAUAUUUUUCUCAGAAUGUGGCUUGCCUA
Molecule: long non-coding RNA, 1303 nt
Filed under: Homo sapiens (human)
Lineage: Eukaryota; Metazoa; Chordata; Mammalia; Primates; Hominidae
Description: HSALNT0186236
Source: RNAcentral